Molecule: ribosomal RNA, 274 nt
Filed under: uncultured bacterium
Lineage: Bacteria
Description: partial 16S ribosomal RNA
Rfam family: Bacterial small subunit ribosomal RNA
Source: RNAcentral
AUACGGAGGGGGCUAGCGUUGUUCGGAAUUACUGGGCGUAAAGGGCGCGUAGGCGGACGAUCAAGUCAGAGGUGAAAGCCCUGGGCUCAACCUGGGAACUGCCUUUGAAACUGAUCGUCUAGAGUCCGGAAGAGGAUGACGGAAUUCCCAGUGUAGAGGUGAAAUUCGUAGAUAUUGGGAAGAACACCGGUGGCGAAGGCGGUCAUCUGGUCCGGUACUGACGCUGAGGCGCGAAAGCGUGGGGAGCAAACAGGAUUAGAAACCCUUGUAGUCC